This is a non-coding RNA of Corylus avellana, 1154 nucleotides long. NCBI's taxonomy places the organism in Eukaryota, Viridiplantae, Streptophyta, Magnoliopsida, Fagales, Betulaceae. The record is from RefSeq and is a predicted model, not a curated record.
UUGACGAUUGAGAUAUAAAUCAGCCUAGGACCGAUAAUCAUUCGAGAACGCACAGAAGCUAGGAUGUUGCUCAAGCCUCUGCCACGAAUUUGAGAAACCUUGGACGCCUACUGCUCACUGCUGAGGUAAAGCUCUCUCUUUUUCACGGCAAGAAAAGAAUAGGGAUCAAUUCCAAUCUUUUGUUUCUGAGACAAUUUGUUCAUCCUUGGCUAGAACCUAGAAAGAACUUGAUUUGGCAACGGAAGUCGAAUUUCAUUAAAACCCCAGCAGUUCUUUGCUUAUUAGAAUAUGUUUCUGCAUUCAAAAUCGAAUCUUUCAGGACUGAAAUCGGUGAUUAUAUCUGGGGUUGUAUUGGGGUUAUGCCUGUAAGGUAGGAGUAUUGUAAUUUAAUUUGCCUGAUCAUAGCCAACAGAAAUAGACAUGGGUUCAGAACAAAACCGCCGCUGGAGUGUUUUUGAUGGGGUUAAGGUUAUUCCGGCAGCGCCUGAGGCUCUCAUGGCAGAAAUUGAUACAGCAAUUUCUAACCUUGAGUAUGCCCGGGCUACGGCCGGCCUUGAGCGGCGGUAUGAUGCCCGAAUGGCAGAUGAUGCUUAUAAGGCGGGAUGUGCUGCCUUGGCUGCAGGCGAGCUCGAUGAGGCUCUUCACUCUUUGAACAUUUCUCUGUCUAAAUGCCCACCUGAUAUGACUAGUGCCGUUGCUAAGAUUCAGUCUCUCAUUUCUCUAACGUCUCAGCAGCUCCAGAAGUCUCCCAAGUGAAUUACUUGAUGUUGGUGUUCAGAUCUUUUUAUUGAGGACAAGUGCAAUUGAUUGGAGGCCACUUCUUGAGUCACAAAUGGGAGAAAGAUAAGAGGGGGCCCUUAACACAAUGCCUGUAGGAUCCAAUUGCUUGUUGACAUGGUUUGUUCACUUGCCAUUCAGUCGCAAGUGGGAAGGUUGGUUUUGCUGCUUUGGUGGACAUCAGAAUGAGACAGUGAGCAGCUUGACAAACUGUUCUAUAUUUGGGCAUAUAUUGUCAGUAAGGUGUGUAAAUUUGGAAUAUGAUUAUUUUUAUGUGAAUCAACUCCCUGGUACUUGGUCAUUUGUACUUGCUUUUAUAAAGGACUUUCUCAGCCACCAGAAAAAACAAAAGGGUGAAAGUCGUUUUGAUUGGUUUA